GGGCCCGCACAAGCGGUGGAGCAUGUGGUUUAAUUCGAUGAUACGCGAGGAACCUUACCAGGGCUUAAAUGUAGUAUGACCGGUCUGGAAACAGACCUUCCCUUCGGGCAGAUUACAAGGUGCUGCAUGGUUGUCGUCAGCUCGUGCCGUGAGGUGUUAGGUUAAGUCCUGCAACGAGCGCAACCCCUAUUCUUAGUUGCCAGCGGUUCGGCCGGGGACUCUAAGAAGACUGCCAGCGCAAGCUGAGAGGAAGUGGGGAUGACGUCAAAUCAUCACGGCCCUUACGUCCUGGGGCUACACACGUGCUACAAUGGUACAGACAGAGGGCAGCCACCUGGCGACAGGGAGCGAAUCCUUAAACUGUAUCUC
Molecule: ribosomal RNA, 369 nt
Filed under: uncultured bacterium
Lineage: Bacteria
Description: bacterial SSU rRNA
Rfam family: Bacterial small subunit ribosomal RNA
Source: RNAcentral